Molecule: non-coding RNA, 4100 nt
Organism: Oryctolagus cuniculus (rabbit)
Lineage: Eukaryota; Metazoa; Chordata; Mammalia; Lagomorpha; Leporidae
Source: RefSeq, a predicted model, not a curated record
GGGGGGGGGGGGCGGCCGAUCAGGCAGCUGCUCCUGGAGGAGGGGGCGCGGGUCGGGGUACGGGGUGGGGGUGGGGGGUCCAGCAGUCAGGAAUGCCCAGUGCCCUGCCCCCGCCGUGAACUGUGGCACUGUGGCGGGACUCUCCCCUUCACCGCGGUGACAGCCAACAGGUGGCGGUGGUGGCGGGGUGGGGACUGCGCCUUGCCGGUUCAUCCGCUCUUCCCCCCUCACGACCACCAGCAGGUGCAACCGACGGGCGCUGAGUGUGGCCGUGGCGCGGCCCUGGGCCACCUGCUGGUGCAGAUGAGGGCCUCGUGCGGGGAUGUGUCGGGGUGGUGCUGCUUUUGCCGGGCAGUGAGUGGUCCCAGCAGCUCAAUCCGUGGGUGUGGAGGCCUGAGGUCCCUGGGCGGGGCCCCGCAGCUCCGCCCACCCGCAGGCUCCGGCUCUGCCUGUCUGUUUGCAGGACUCUAGGAGCUGGUUUUGCAGUAGGAAAUGACAGUGACAACCUCUACAUUCCCGAGACAGUAGCUCGCCGACGUGGUUAACCCACCAGCAGCUAGCAACUGCUUUUUCUCAGACAUCAGUGGUUUUAAUUUUGCAGCUCAUGGCUUUUUAAUUUGACGUAAGGGACGUCUGCCAAGCUCUGCAGUAAAUAAACAAGCACGCGGCUUCAGAGCUGCGUCCCCUCUCGGACCGGUCCUUUGGCCACGUGAGCAGCGCGCAUCUCCUCCUCUGCUGCUGGGCUCCGUGUGCGACCUCAGCCUGAGCCCCUGGGCCUUCAACCAGUGCACAGCAGCCUCGCUGGGCGCCGCCGUCUGCAGGGCCUUCAUCCAGCGCACAGCAGCCUCGCUGGGCGCCGCCGUCUGCAGGACCGAGCCCCGGGACGCGGCCUGCAGGCCCCCUGCUCUGGGCCUCGCCGUCCCUGUCUGUGAAAUGGAGCGGCCACGGGAGGGCAGUGCUGAGCCGCGCUGCUGGGCUCUGGGCGCUGAGGGGAGCAAGCGGAGGCUCUGGCCCAAGCUCUGGACCCAGUGGGGCCCUGACUCCCCUGGAAGGCGCCUGGGGACUGGGAGUGCACUCCUAAACCUGGUGACUGCACUGGGAAAAUGGCUGCUCUCAGCCAUGGGACACUGGGUCUGUCAGUCACUGCCAUAGGGGCAGGACACUGGGUGUCUGUCAGUCACUGCCAUAGGGGCGGGACACUGGGUCUGUCAGUCACUGCCAUAGGGGCGGGAUGCGGGUGUCCGUCAGUCACUGCCAUAGGGGCGAGAUGCGGGUGUCUGUCAGUCACUGCCAUAGGGGCGGGACACUGGGUCUGUCAGUCACUGCCAUAGGGACGGGAUGCGGGUGUCUGUCAGUCACUGCCAUGGGGGCGGGACACUGGGUGUCACCCUGCCAUGGGGGCGGGACACUGGGUGUCUGUCACUCCGGGAUAGGGGCGGGACGUUUUUCCAAGCUGGCGUUCUGAAAGGACAGCUGGGACCUGGGACCCAUCUCCAGGACCUGACCAAGGACAGGCGUGGCUGAAGUGACUGGACCAAGCGCGGUGGGUCAUGUUCUGAGCGCCACAGCGCCGCCGCAGUGAGCCGCCCAGCGGGGCGAGGUAGGAAAGUCAGGUAAGAAGGACCCCGGCCCCAGAGCCGACUCCCUGCCCUCCGUCAGGUAAGAUGGCGUUGACGUCAUCGGCUCUGUGACUGGUUUUCCAGAAUCUCAGCAUGUAGUAACACAGAACACCAGUAGGGCCCAGCGUGGACUCCGCUGGCCCCACGUGGCCAGGGGCCAGGCCUCCCGGGAUGGGUCGGCGCUCUAGCAAGGGGCCACGCCGCUGUGGGCGCUGUCCGUGGCUAGGGGCCGGGUUAGGGCGUGCGGGUGACGGUCGCGUGCCGGCUCUCGUCUGCUACCAACUGCCGCGUGCGGCUAGGGGGCCAGAGGCCCGGCUCCCACUGCCCUGGGGCAGCCCUGCACGUCUGUGCGUCUUGUCUCGUGACUUGACCUUCCUCUAGGAGACGAAAGCGUGUGUGGGGCGAGAACCUGAGGCUCGCGGGCCUUGCACGCCACCCCUCACCCCCUCCCCAGACCCUGACACUCCAGAGUGCAGAGCAGGAGGUGACAGACACAGGGCCGGCGGGCAGGUCCGGAGCAGGGACUCGCCGUGCGCCUGCAUGGCCAUCGUGGCGGCUGGCUCCGGGAGUUCAGACUCCUGCGGAACACAGCGCAGAGCCACACCGCUUCUGGUCUGCAGCCACAGCUUCCCAGGCGCCAGUGAGCUCCUGAGACAGGAGGGCGCCGCCUGUCUGUCUCCUUUAAGGCAAAGCCAAGUGCAGAGGACGCUGCCCACGGGAGCCCUGCCCGUGCUCAUCACGCCCUGCCCACGGUGUGGGGGGAGCCCAUCCCCCGUUACUACCCGCAGGCCUAAGAGCCCUCACCUGUCUCUGAGCCUAGAGAGAUCGGGGACCGGGUAGAGACCUGGUUCUCAAGCGAGCAGGGGCGCGGCUAGAUGCCAUGUGCGCGGGGAGGAGUUAGUGCGGGUUUCGGGGAAACUGAGUCCUGUUUCACAAAGCAGUGCCGGGCAACGGGCUAGUGGCAAAGGCAAUGGAUGUGAAGACGAACGCGAUGGUUGCCUUCCCGCGGCUUCUCAAGUGGUGCUUUACUGCCCGUCCAGAAGUCCUUGUUUCGCUGCGGUUUUAGUAAUUGUGAUGCAGACUGGACUGAUAGAGAGGAGGCCCCUGACGUGCUGUGGGGAAAGGAGAGGUGAAGAGCGUGCACGCGGCCACUUGGGUGUUGGUGCAUAAAGCCAGGCUAAAGACGUGCGCGUCACAGUGUGGGCCGCGGCUCCCCUGAGGGCCGUCCCUCUCGCCACCACGGCUGCCACCUUACUGGAUUACUCUGUUUCUAGUGCCUUCCUAAACGGUGUGGAACUGUCAUUUUAGAAAUCGCAGUUUUCCCAACCUUCCCUUCUCCCAGACUCGCCGCUCCAAGUAGACAGCGCCGUGGCUGCAAGGCCUCGCCCCACCUACGGGACCCCGGGCCAGCGUGGCCCCCGCCCCCGCCUCCUCUGGUUUCUGACUCCUCCUCGCCUGGGCUGUCGCUCACUCUGCCUGCAGCCCACUCCCGGCUUACAGAGCCGCUGACCCGACUUGUUCUGUGUGUCCCCGCAGCCUGAGCCACGGAUCUCUGCAGGCAGCUGGGAAACGGAGCGGUGUGGGCUCAGAGCUAGUGAGCGCCGUGGUGAAGCCCUUCAUCCCAGCUCACCACACGCACGUCCCAGAGCAAGCAAACAAAAGGCUCUUUUCCCCUAGAGAGCCUGCGUUCAGCUGGCCACCUCCUGGGUGACCGACCCCUCCCGGGGGCCCCACCUGUCACAGUGACCGACCCCUCCCGGGGGGCCCCACCUGUCACAGUGACCGACCCCUCCCGGGGGGUCCCACCUGUCACAGUGACCGACCCCUCCCGGGGGGCCCCACCUGUCACAGUGACCGACCCCUCCCGGGGGGUCCCACCUGUCACAGUGACCGACCCCUCCCGGGGGGCCCCACCUAUCACAGUGACCGACCCCUCCCGGGGGACCCCACCUGUCACAGUGACCGACCCUUCCCGGGGGCCCCACCUAUCACAGGUGACCCGGGCAGAGGCUCAGGUUCCAGACAGGACGGAGGGGAGGAAGCAAGGCCACAUGGCCGGCCCACUCGCAUUCUCAGCAAGGACGGCUGUGUGCAGGCCCCCCCACCAGCAACUGUGCAGUGGCCUGGAGCUCCCCUGGGCCGUGAGAGGCCCCCUAACCCCCUCCCUCCCCCUCUAGUUUCUCUCCCCGCAUGGGAAAUGACAAACCUUGUUUCUAGAAGGCUUGAGCAUAUUAACACCCAUUUCCCAUAAACCAAACACAGGCCUUUAAAAUGAGCUGCCAUCUCCCUCUGAUGCACCUGCUGUGUCUCCCGGGCACGUCCCCCAGACUGGACCAAGCGGCCCUUGUGCUGCACAGUGAGCAGGAUUACAGUCGGAAGAGUCAGGCAGAGAUAGAAGGCGUCCAGCAGUCCGGGUCUGCCCACGGAGUGACAGGCCGUGUUACCCGGCCGCUCCAUCUGAUAAACUAACCUGUGGUACAA